RNAcentral lists this ribosomal RNA (793 nucleotides) under uncultured archaeon. RNAcentral's name for it is "bacterial SSU rRNA". It matches the Rfam family "Archaeal small subunit ribosomal RNA", at positions 85 to 879 of the family's 1478-position model. The record is from RNAcentral.
ACUGCUCAGUAACACGUGGACAACCUGCCCUUAGGUUGGGUAUAAACCCGGGAAACUGGGUAUAAUACCCGAUAGGUCUCGAUUGCUGGAAUGCAUCGAGAUUUAAAGCUCCGGCGCCUAAGGAUGGGUCUGCGGCCUAUCAGGUAGUAGUUGGUGUAGCGUACCUACUAGCCUACGACGGGUACGGGUUGUGAGAGCAAGAGCCCGGAGAUGGAUUCUGAGACACGAAUCCAGGCCCUACGGGGUGCAGCAGGCGCGAAAACUUUACAAUGCUGGCAACAGCGAUAAGGGAACCUCGAGUGCCAGGUUACAAAUCUGGCUGUCGAGAUGCCUAAAAAGCAUUUCAUAGCAAGGGCCGGGCAAGACCGGUGCCAGCCGCCGCGGUAACACCGGCGGCUCGAGUGGUAACCGUUAUUAUUGGGUCUAAAGGGUCUGUAGCCGGCCGGAUAAGUCUCUUGAGAAAUCUGGCAGCUUAACUGUCAGGCUUUCAGGAGAUACUGUCUGGCUCGAGGCCGGGAGAGGUGAGAGGUACUUCAGGGGUAGGGGUGAAAUCUUGUAAUCCUUGAAGGACCACCAGUGGCGAAGGCGUCUCACCAGAACGGACCUGACGGCAAGGGACGAAAGCUAGGGGCACGAACCGGAUUAGAUACCCGGGUAGUCCUAGCCGUAAACGAUACUCGCUAGGUGUCGGCCACGGUGCGACCGUUGUCGGUGCCGUAGGGAAGCCGUGAAGCGAGCCACCUGGGAAGUACGGCCGCAAGGCUGAAACUUAAAGGAAUUGGCGGGGGAGCAC